Rosa chinensis is the source of this 554-nucleotide long non-coding RNA. RefSeq lists it as uncharacterized. The transcript is spliced from 3 exons. The record is from RefSeq and is a predicted model, not a curated record. Lineage: Eukaryota; Viridiplantae; Streptophyta; Magnoliopsida; Rosales; Rosaceae.
UGGAAGUUGUGUGUUUGUUGCUGCAUUCUUUUUCGUCUGGAGAUAAACUAUUAAACUACUCUCUGAUCUAUGCAUUUGUUUUUAUGCAGCUCAAAGAGAGAAGAUAAGUGAAGCUAAUCAAGGCUCCAAACAAGGACAGCAGCUGCAGUGUCAGAAAAUGCCAUAGUUCUGAGUUUUAAAUCGAGGGUUUAAAGCAGAACAGCAGCUACAGUCAUGUUUAUGCCUUCUUUCAUUGCUUGGAUUAUAUAUAAUUGAAAUGAUGAAUAACUGAAUCAAUGUAUUGUGUAGGUUGGAGCUGCGUUUUCCAUGGUUUACAUAUUUGGAGCUUCGGUCAUGUUUGUUGGGUGUGAGCAGUGCUACACACACCUCAAAAAGUUGAAUGUAAAAUCAAUUGUGAAGACCCCUUUGGUUAGAAUGCUUAGGUUAGAAUGUUUUUGUUCUUUUAAUGUUGGUUUGGAUGAUUGGGAAAUGCUCCUUUUUUACAUUUGAAGUUUAUAGUAUGAGUUCGAUUAAUCAUUUGAUGUUUGCAAUCAGUUUUGUUUCCAAUUGAUCAA